AUUGAACGCUGGCGGCAUGCUUUACACAUGCAAGUCGAGCGGCAGCGCGGGGGCAACCCUGGCGGCGAGCGGCGAACGGGUGAGUAACGCAUCGGAACGUAUCCUGUAGUAGGGAAUAACUCAUCGAAAGGUGAGCUAAUACCGCAUAAGCUCUGAGGAGGAAAGCGGGGGACCGAAAGGCCUCGCGCUGCAGGAGCGGCCGAUGUCCGAUUAGCUAGUUGGUGAGGUAAAGGCUCACCAAGGCGACGAUCGGUAGCUGGUCUGAGAGGAUGAUCAGCCACACUGGGACUGAGACACGGCCCAGACUCCUACGGGAGGCAGCAGUGGGGAAUUUUGGACAAUGGGGGAAACCCUGAUCCAGCCAUGCCGCGUGAGUGAAGAAGGCCUCGGUUGUAAG
This 397-nucleotide ribosomal RNA is filed under the name uncultured bacterium. Its description in RNAcentral is "bacterial SSU rRNA". It matches the Rfam family "Bacterial small subunit ribosomal RNA", at positions 29 to 429 of the family's 1533-position model. The record is from RNAcentral.